Molecule: ribosomal RNA, 95 nt
Filed under: Anoxybacillus andreesenii
Lineage: Bacteria; Bacillati; Bacillota; Bacilli; Caryophanales; Anoxybacillaceae
Source: RNAcentral
UCACACCCGUUCCCAUACCGAACACGGAAGUUAAGCUUCUCAGCGCCGAUGGUAGUUAGGGGACGAGCCCUUGUGAGAGUAGGACGUUGCCGGGC